GUUUAAUAGGCCGGGUGCAGUGGCUCAUGCCUGUAAUCCCAACACUUUGGGAGGCCGAGGCAGGUGGAUCAUGAGUGUUUUGUAGAGACAGAGUCUCACUCUGUUGCCCAGGCGAGUCUCUAACUCCUGGCCUCAAAUGAUCCUCCCAUCUCAGCCUCUCAAAGCUCUGGGAUUGCAGGUGUAAACCAUCUCACCCAGUCAGCAAGUGAUACAGCUGAAAGAAAACAAUUUGAAUCUAUAAAGCACUGAGAUGUUUUUGACUUAAAACAAGCACCAAAGUCUCAGUCGUUUAUCCAGAAUCAUAGCCUCCCUGAGAUGAAAGGGGCCUAAGAGAUCAUCCAGUCAGUGCGACAUGAUUUGCAAGGAUACCAGAUGAUAAAAUCAAGGCUCCAAAAAAUUGAGACAGAACUUGAACGAUGGUCUCCUGGCUUGUAAUCUUCUACACAACGUGCCAUCAAAUGGAUCAUUUGGGGAUGAUAUAUUCACAAGAAUUUGGCCAAGUUGGCAAA
Molecule: long non-coding RNA, 509 nt
Organism: Pongo pygmaeus (Bornean orangutan)
Lineage: Eukaryota; Metazoa; Chordata; Mammalia; Primates; Hominidae
Exons: 4
Source: RefSeq, a predicted model, not a curated record